Molecule: long non-coding RNA, 97 nt
Organism: Neotoma lepida (desert woodrat)
Lineage: Eukaryota; Metazoa; Chordata; Mammalia; Rodentia; Cricetidae
Rfam family: ZNFX1 antisense RNA 1 conserved region 2
Source: Rfam
AAGCAGUACAGAAUGGAUGUUGGAGAAGAAAGGGGUUACUUCUGGGCUUCUGGGAAAACCAGAAAGAAGAUACCCAUAAUCCUCAACCUCCUAAUUU